RNAcentral lists this ribosomal RNA (484 nucleotides) under uncultured bacterium. RNAcentral describes it as "partial 16S ribosomal RNA". It matches the Rfam family "Bacterial small subunit ribosomal RNA", at positions 30 to 507 of the family's 1533-position model. The record is from RNAcentral.
AUUGAACGCUGGCGGCAGGCCUAACACAUGCAAGUCGAGCGGAUGAAGGGAGCUUGCUCCUGGAUUCAGCGGCGGACGGGUGAGUAAUGCCUAGGAAUCUGCCUGGUAGUGGGGGAUAACGUCCGGAAACGGGCGCUAAUACCGCAUACGUCCUGAGGGAGAAAGUGGGGGAUCUUCGGACCUCACGCUAUCAGACGAGCCUAGGUCGGAUUAGCUAGUUGGUAGGGUAAAGGCCUACCAAGGCGACGAUCCGUAACUGGUCUGAGAGGAUGAUCAGUCACACUGGAACUGAGACACGGUCCAGACUCCUACGGGAGGCAGCAGUGGGGAAUAUUGGACAAUGGGCGAAAGCCUGAUCCAGCCAUGCCGCGUGUGUGAAGAAGGUCUUCGGAUUGUAAAGCACUUUAAGUUGGGAGGAAGGGCAGUAAGUUAAUACCUUGCUGUUUUGACGUUACCAACAGAAUAAGCACCGGCUAACUUCGUG